AUUGAACGCUGGCGGCAUGCCUUACACAUGCAAGUCGAACGGCAGCACGGGAGCAAUCCUGGUGGCGAGUGGCGAACGGGUGAGUAAAGUAUCGGAACGUGCCCAGUCGUGGGGGAUAACGUAGCGAAAGUUACGCUAAUACCGCAUACGAUCUAUGGAUGAACGCGGGGGAUCGCAAGACCUCGCGCGAUUGGAGCGGCCGAUAUCAGAUUAGGUAGUUGGUGGGGUAAAGGCUCACCAAGCCGACGAUCUGUAGCUGGUCUGAGAGGACGACCAGCCACACUGGGACUGAGACACGGCCCAGACUCCUACGGGAGGCAGCAGUGGUGAAUUUUGGACAAUGGGCGAAAGCCUGAUCCAGCCAUGCCGCGUGCAGGAUGAAGGCCUUCGGGUUGUAAACUGCUUUUGUACGGAACGAAAAGGUUUGGCCUAAUAAGCUGAGCUCAUGACGGUACCGUAAGAAUAAGCACCGGCUAACUACGUGCCAGCCGCCGCAGUAA
Molecule: ribosomal RNA, 500 nt
Filed under: uncultured bacterium
Lineage: Bacteria
Description: partial 16S ribosomal RNA
Rfam family: Bacterial small subunit ribosomal RNA
Source: RNAcentral